Molecule: RNA transcript, 1093 nt
Organism: Trichechus manatus latirostris (Florida manatee)
Lineage: Eukaryota; Metazoa; Chordata; Mammalia; Sirenia; Trichechidae
Gene name: RNA-binding motif, single-stranded-interacting protein 1 pseudogene
Exons: 1
Source: RefSeq, a predicted model, not a curated record
AAAAUAGCUUCUACAAAGGCAAUUUUGGAUAAGACAACGAACAAAUGCAAAGGUUACGGUUUUGUCGACUUCGACAGCCCUGCAGCAGCUCAGAAAGCUGUGUUUGCCCUGAAGGCUAGUGGGGUUCAAGCGCAGAUGGCAAAGCAACAGGAACAAGAUCCUACCAACCUGUAUGUUUCUAAUUUGCCACUGUCCAUGGAUGAGCAAGAACUUGAAAAUAUGCUCAAACCCUUUGGACAAGUUAUUUCUACAAGGAUACUUCGUGAUUCCAGUGGUACAAGUUGUGGUGUUGGCUUUGCUAGGAUAGAUUCAACAGAAAAAUGCGAAGCUGUUAUUGGUCAUUUUAAUGGAAAAUUCAUUAAAACAUCACCAGGAGUUUCUGCUCCUGCAGAACCUUUAUUGUGUAAGUUCGCAGAUGGAGGACAGAAGAGGCAGAAUCCCAACAAAUACAUCCCUAAUGGAAGACCAUGGCAUAGAGAAGGAGAGGCUGGAAUGACACUUACUUAUGACCCAACUACAGCUGCUAUACAGAACGGAUUUUAUCCUUCACCAUACAGUAUUGCUACAAACCGAAUGAUCACUCAAACUUCUAUUACACCCUAUAUUGCAUCUCUUGUAUCUGCUUACCAGGUGCAAAGUCCUUCUUGGAUGCAACCUCAACCAUAUAUUCUGCAGCACCCUAGUGCUGUGUUAACUCCCUUAAUGGAGCACACCAUGUCACUACAGCCUGCAUCUGUGAUCAGUCCUCUGGCCCAGCUGAUGGCUCAUCUGUCACUAGGCAGCACCUGAACAUACAUGCCUGCAACAUCAGCUAUGCAAGGAGCCUAUUUGCCACAGUAUGCACACAUGCAGACAAUGGCAGUUCCUGUUGAGGAGGCAAGUGGUCAGCAGCAGGUGGCUGCAGAGAUGUCUAAUGACCAUUCUCCGUAUACCUUUCAACCUAAUAAGUAACUGUGAGAUGUACAGAAGGACGUUCUUACAUGAAGAAGGGUGUGAAGGCUGAACAGUCAUGGAUUUUUCUGAUCAAUUGUGCUUUAGGAAAUUAUUGACAGUUUUGCACAGGUUCUUGAAAAUGUUAUUUAUGAUGAAAUCA